AGUUGUACGACUGGCGGAAAACAGCAAUGCUGUGGUGGGACAACCCACAGGGAGUACAAAAAUAGAGAGAAAGCCGACCGCCUGGGCACCA
This 91-nucleotide non-coding RNA is filed under the name uncultured Acetatifactor sp. RNAcentral describes it as "ZMP/ZTP riboswitch". It matches the Rfam family "ZMP/ZTP riboswitch aptamer (pfl RNA motif)". Rfam says of the family: Previously known as pfl RNA. The record is from RNAcentral. Lineage: Bacteria; Bacillati; Bacillota; Clostridia; Lachnospirales; Lachnospiraceae.